GACGAACGCUGGCGGCGUGCCUAAUACAUGCAAGUCGAGCGAAGUUUUUCUGGUGCUUGCACUAGAAAAACUUAGCGGCGAACGGGUGAGUAACACGUAAAGAACCUGCCUCAUAGACUGGGACAACUAUUGGAAACGAUAGCUAAUACCGGAUAACAGCAUUAACUGCAUGGUUGAUGUUUAAAAGUUGGUUAUGCUAACACUAUGAGAUGGCUUUGCGGUGCAUUAGCUAGUUGGUGGGGUAAAGGCCCACCAAGGCGACGAUGCAUAGCCGACCUGAGAGGGUGAUCGGCCACACUGGGACUGAGACACGGCCCAGACUCCUACGGGAGGCAGCAGUAGGGAAUCUUCCGCAAUGGGCGAAAGCCUGACGGGAGCAACGCCCGCGUGGAGUGAAGAAGGAUUUCGGUUUCGUAAAAGCUCUGUU
Molecule: ribosomal RNA, 427 nt
Filed under: Gemella morbillorum
Lineage: Bacteria; Bacillati; Bacillota; Bacilli; Caryophanales; Gemellaceae
Description: bacterial SSU rRNA
Rfam family: Bacterial small subunit ribosomal RNA
Source: RNAcentral